CCCUUUGGGGUGUGACUGCGUACCUUUUGUAUAAUGGGUCAGCGACUUAUAUUCUGUAGCAAGGUUAACCGUAUAGGGGAGCCGGAGGGAAACCGAGUCUUAACCGGGCGUUAAGUUGCAGGGUAUAGACCCGAAACCCGGUGAUCUAGCCAUGGGCAGGUUGAAGGUUGGGUAACACUAACUGGAGGACCGAACCGACUAAUGUUGAAAAAUUAGCGGAUGACCUGUGGCUGGGGGUGAAAGGCCAAUCAAACCGGGAGAUAGCUGGUUCUCCCCGAAAGCUAUUUAGGUAGCGCCUCGUGAAUUCAUCUCCGGGGGUAGAGCACUGUUUCGGCUAGGGGGCCAUCCCGGCUUACCAACCCGAUGCAAACUGCGAAUACCGGAGAAUGUUAUCACGGGAGACACACGGCGGGUGCUAACGUCCGUCGUGAAGAGGGAAACAACCCAGACCGCCAGCUAAGGUCCCAAAGUCAUGGUUAAGUGGGAAACGAUGUGGGAAGGCCCAGACAGCCAGGAUGUUGGCUUAGAAGCAGCCAUCAUUUAAAGAAAGCGUAAUAGCUCACUGGUCGAGUCGGCCUGCGCGGAAGAUGUAACGGGGCUAAACCAUGCACCGAAGCUGCGGCAGCGACACUCAGGUGUUGUUGGGUAGGGGAGCGUUCUGUAAGCCUGCGAAGGUGGCCUGUGAGGGUUGCUGGAGGUAUCAGAAGUGCGAAUGCUGACAUAAGUAACGAUAAAGCGGGUGAAAAGCCCGCUCGCCGGAAGACCAAGGGUUCCUGUCCAACGUUAAUCGGGGCAGGGUGAGUCGACCCCUAAGGCGAGGCCGAAAGGCGUAGUCGAUGGGAAACGGGUUAAUAUUCCCGUACUUGGUGUUACUGCGAAGGGGGGACGGAGAAGGCUAUGUUGGCCGGGCGACGGUUGUCCCGGUUUAAGCGUGUAGGUGUGUGUUCCAGGUAAAUCCGGUU
RNAcentral lists this ribosomal RNA (962 nucleotides) under Salmonella enterica subsp. enterica serovar Panama. RNAcentral's name for it is "partial 23S ribosomal RNA". It matches the Rfam family "Bacterial large subunit ribosomal RNA", at positions 582 to 1547 of the family's 2925-position model. Lineage: Bacteria; Pseudomonadati; Pseudomonadota; Gammaproteobacteria; Enterobacterales; Enterobacteriaceae. The record is from RNAcentral.